AGUGAACGCUGGCGGUAGGCCUAACACAUGCAAGUCGAACGGCAGCACAGUAAGAGCUUGCUCUUAUGGGUGGCGAGUGGCGGACGGGUGAGGAAUACAUCGGAAUCUACUUUUUCGUGGGGGAUAACGUAGGGAAACUUACGCUAAUACCGCAUACGACCUACGGGUGAAAGCAGGGGAUCUUCGGACCUUGCGCGAUUGAAUGAGCCGAUGUCGGAUUAGCUAGUUGGCAGGGUAAAGGCCCACCAAGGCGACGAUCCGUAGCUGGUCUGAGAGGAUGAUCAGCCACACUGGAACUGAGACACGGUCCAGACUCCUACGGGAGGCAGCAGUGGGGAAUAUUGGACAAUGGGCGCAAGCCUGAUCCAGCCAUACCGCGUGGGUGAAGAAGGCCUUCGGGUUGUAAAGCCCUUUUGUUGGGAAAGAAAAGCAGCAGGUUAAUACCCCGCUGUUCUGACGGUACCCAAAGAAUAAGCACCGGCUAACUUCGUG
RNAcentral lists this ribosomal RNA (492 nucleotides) under uncultured bacterium. Its description in RNAcentral is "partial 16S ribosomal RNA". It matches the Rfam family "Bacterial small subunit ribosomal RNA", at positions 29 to 507 of the family's 1533-position model. The record is from RNAcentral.